GAUGAAGAACGUAGCGAAAUGCGAUAAGUAAUGUGAAUUGCAGAAUUCAGUGAAUCAUCGAAUCUUUGAACGCACCUUGCGCCCUCUGGUAUUCCGGAGGGCAUGCCUGUUUGAGUGUCAUGUAGACUCAACCAUGUCGGGUUUCCGACCGGGUUGGACUUGGACGUUGCCGGCGACGGCUCGUCUUAAAAGAGUUAGCGGACAAAGUGACCGAACACGACGUGAUAAGUACUCGUCGCUAUUAGGACCUCUGAGCCCGCUCACAACCGCCCUUGGGCACCUUUUGACUCUGACCUCAAAUCAGGUAGGACUACCCGCUGAACUUAAGCAUAUCAAUAAGCGGAGGA
RNAcentral lists this unclassified non-coding RNA (347 nucleotides) under soil metagenome. RNAcentral describes it as "partial contains 5.8S ribosomal RNA, internal transcribed spacer 2, and large subunit ribosomal RNA". The stretch from base 1 to 120 matches the Rfam family "5.8S ribosomal RNA", at positions 35 to 154 of the family's 154-position model. The record is from RNAcentral.